AACGAAGCACUUUGACCGAUUUCUUCGGAAUGAAGUUUUAGUGACUGAGUGGCGGACGGGUGAGUAACGCGUGGGUAACCUGCCUCACACUGGGGGAUAACAGUUAGAAAUAGCUGCUAAUACCGCAUAAGCGCACGGUACCGCAUGGUACGGUGUGAAAAACUCCGGUGGUGUGAGAUGGACCCGCGUCUGAUUAGCUAGUUGGCGGGGCAACGGCCCACCUAGCCGACGACGGGUAGCCGGGUUGAGAGGGUGAACGGCCACAUUGGGACUGAGACACGGCCCAAACUCC
RNAcentral lists this ribosomal RNA (292 nucleotides) under uncultured Eubacteriales bacterium. RNAcentral's name for it is "uncultured Clostridiales bacterium partial 16S ribosomal RNA". The stretch from base 54 to 292 matches the Rfam family "Bacterial small subunit ribosomal RNA", at positions 100 to 339 of the family's 1533-position model. Lineage: Bacteria; Bacillati; Bacillota; Clostridia; Eubacteriales. The record is from RNAcentral.